RNAcentral lists this unclassified non-coding RNA (321 nucleotides) under uncultured fungus. RNAcentral describes it as "partial contains small subunit ribosomal RNA, internal transcribed spacer 1, and 5.8S ribosomal RNA". The stretch from base 1 to 73 matches the Rfam family "Eukaryotic small subunit ribosomal RNA", at positions 1759 to 1831 of the family's 1831-position model. The record is from RNAcentral. Lineage: Eukaryota; Fungi.
GCAAACUUGGUCAUUUAGAGGAAGUAAAAGUCGUAACAAGGUUUCCGUAGGUGAACCUGCGGAAGGAUCAUUAUUGAAUUAAUCUAGAGUUGGUUGUAGCUGGCCUUGUUAAUUUGGGGCAUGUGCACACCUUCUCUUUCAUCCAUAUACACCUGUGCACCUGUGAGGCAGAUUUUAUUGGGAGGACUUUAUUGAACUCCCUCUGCCUACUUAAUACACAUAAACUCAAUUUAUUUUAAAAUGAAUGUAAUAGAUGUAACACAUCUAAUACUAAGUUUCAACAACGGAUCUCUUGGCUCUCGCAUCGAUGAAGAACGCAGC